This 77-nucleotide transfer RNA is filed under the name Pirellula sp. SH-Sr6A. It matches the Rfam family "tRNA". Rfam says of the family: Transfer RNA (tRNA) molecules are approximately 80 nucleotides in length. Their secondary structure includes four short double-helical elements and three loops (D, anti-codon, and T loops). The record is from Rfam by way of RNAcentral. Lineage: Bacteria; Pseudomonadati; Planctomycetota; Planctomycetia; Pirellulales; Pirellulaceae.
GCCGCCUUAGCUCUGUCGGUAGAGCAGUCCCUUUCCUCCUACUGGGACCGGCGCGGGUUCGACUCCCGCAGGUGGCU